GACGAACGCUGGCGGCGUGCCUAAUACAUGCAAGUUGAGCGCUGAAGGUUGGUACUUGUACCGACUGGAUGAGCAGCGAACGGGUGAGUAACGCGUGGGGAAUCUGCCUUUGAGCGGGGGACAACAUUUGGAAACGAAUGCUAAUACCGCAUAAAAACUUUAAACACAAGUUUUAAGUUUGAAAGAUGCAAUUGCAUCACUCAAAGAUGAUCCCGCGUUGUAUUAGCUAGUUGGUGAGGUAAAGGCUCACCAAGGCGAUGAUACAUAGCCGACCUGAGAGGGUGAUCGGCCACAUUGGGACUGAGACAAGGCCCAAACUCCUACGGGAGGCAGCAGUAGGGAAUCUUCGGCAAUGGACGAAAGUCUGACCGAGCAACGCCGCGAGAGUGAAGAAGGGUUUCGGAUCGUAAAACUCUGUUGGUAGAGAAGAACGUUGGUGAGAGUGGAAAGCUCAUCAAGUGACGGUAACUACCCAGAAAGGGACGGCUAACUACGUG
Molecule: ribosomal RNA, 497 nt
Filed under: uncultured bacterium
Lineage: Bacteria
Description: partial 16S ribosomal RNA
Rfam family: Bacterial small subunit ribosomal RNA
Source: RNAcentral